GAUGAACGCUAGCUACAGGCUUAACACAUGCAAGUCGUGGGGCAGCGGAUACUUAUCUUUCUAAGUAUGCCGGCGACCGGCGCACGGGUGAGUAACGCGUACCGUACCUGCCCAUCUCACAUGGAUAGGCUUGCGAAAGCAAGAUUAAUAUCUGAUGGUCUCAAUUUUAUGCAUGUAUGUUUGAGUAAAUCCUUCUGUCGGUUAUGGAUGGCGGUGCGUCCCAUUAGGAAGUUGGCGGGGUAACGGCCCACCAAUCCUUCGAUGGGUAGGGGUUCUGAGAGGAAGGGCACCCAGAAUGGAACUGAGAGACGGUACAAACACCUACGGGAGGAAGAAGUGAGGAAUAUUGGUGAAGGGGAGAGAGCCUGAACAAGCCAAGUAGCGUGCGGGAGGAAGGCAGUUGUGGUAGUAAACCGAUUUUAUAAGAAAAUAAAGUGAAGCACGUGUGGUGUAAUUGAAGGUAGCUGAAGAAAAAGGACCGGCUAAUUCCGUG
This 493-nucleotide ribosomal RNA is filed under the name uncultured bacterium. RNAcentral describes it as "partial 16S ribosomal RNA". It matches the Rfam family "Bacterial small subunit ribosomal RNA", at positions 28 to 507 of the family's 1533-position model. The record is from RNAcentral.